AAAGGAAUACAAAUUUUUUAUUGUUUGGAUACAAUUUUGAAAUAUCGUCUACCCAAAUCCUAGGUUCUAACCUGUAGGGGUUUCAAUAUCUAUACAAAUGUAUUUGCAUAUCAUACAGAAAAUAAUGUAAAACCUAUACUAAAGGAAGGGAAAAAAAGUUUAGCUUUUACGGCCUUGGGCCCCAAUCAUUCAGCAGUCUUUUUCUCGUUCUUCUAUACUCCUCUAAUCUUUAUCCGAAUCUCCAAGCGUCCAAUCCUUUUACUUUGUCCUCGAGCUUUUGCUUUCCA
Long non-coding RNA from Lycium ferocissimum, 287 nucleotides. RefSeq lists it as uncharacterized. The transcript is spliced from 2 exons. The record is from RefSeq and is a predicted model, not a curated record. Lineage: Eukaryota; Viridiplantae; Streptophyta; Magnoliopsida; Solanales; Solanaceae.